GAUUUUCUUCCGGGGUGGUGAAACUAUCGAAAGAUACGCACUGAGAAAAACCCGUAGAACCUGAACUGGAUAAUGCCAGCGCAGGAAGAUGAGAAAAUCUGGGC
RNAcentral lists this non-coding RNA (104 nucleotides) under Niabella ginsenosidivorans. RNAcentral describes it as "TPP riboswitch aptamer (THI element)". It matches the Rfam family "TPP riboswitch aptamer (THI element)". Rfam says of the family: Vitamin B(1) in its active form thiamin pyrophosphate (TPP) is an essential coenzyme that is synthesised by coupling of pyrimidine and thiazole moieties in bacteria. The previously detected thiamin-regulatory element, thi box was extended, resulting in a new, highly conserved RNA secondary structure, the THI element, which is widely distributed in eubacteria and also occurs in some archaea. Lineage: Bacteria; Pseudomonadati; Bacteroidota; Chitinophagia; Chitinophagales; Chitinophagaceae. RNAcentral also lists the same sequence under 1 other name. The record is from Rfam by way of RNAcentral.